Phlebotomus papatasi is the source of this 3342-nucleotide RNA transcript. It is a transcript of the gene named NFX1-type zinc finger-containing protein 1-like, with no coding region annotated. NCBI's taxonomy places the organism in Eukaryota, Metazoa, Arthropoda, Insecta, Diptera, Psychodidae. The transcript has 6 exons. The record is from RefSeq and is a predicted model, not a curated record.
UCCGACGACAGCGCUGCAGUGGUGAAUAGAGGGAAUUUCACAAGAAAAGUUCAGUUAUAAAUUUUUCUCCCAACUUUCUUAAGUUUUUCUUUAAUAAAUUAUCUUAAAAUUGGCUUAUUAUUAUAAAGAUCUAUAGAUAAAGUGGUAUUGUCUCUUGUUUUAUGCAAUAAUUCAUUUGGAUCAAGUGGAUCAAACAGUGUUUAACAGAAAAUUGGCUUUUUGGCGUUUGCAUGUGGCAUCCAUAUUAAGUUUUCCCUCAAUUUUAAUAUUAAAAAGCAAGCAAAAUCCAGUGAAAAUGAAUAGUGCACGGAAUCAGGAUUCCUGGCGCGUGAGAGAAGUUGACGGGCUUCCAGGAUCACCUAGGGAAACGGUGCCUGAAAGAGCCCCAAUCGAAGCAAUGAGGAGGAUGCAUCUGGCUGAUUCCGGGGAUUCCCCGCGUAGUUGGAGAAGAAUUCCCGGGAAAGCUGAAGCAAAGAAUUCGGAGGAAGUACCACCUCGAACGAGGCCCUGGAAUGUGCAAAGUGAGGGCAGAUUCAUCCAGAAAAUGUCCAAAAUAGAACUUAUGUCAAUAGUUCACAUGAGUCCUGUGGAUGCUUUUCUGGAAAUUGUUGACGAUAUGGAAAAAUUUAAAGAAACUGCUUUGCAGAAUAACAAAUCUCACGAAGAUACAAUUCUGCUGAUUGUUAUUCUUGGAAAACUACAUGAAGUUCCUUUUGAUCAGCUUAAAGAUAUUGUUUUCAUGAUCUUCGGAUCAAAUGUUGUCUUUCGGGAUGAUAUCUUGGCGUACGUGAGGUAUGCAGUAGAUCUCGAAGAGAAAGGCAAACAGAAUUUAUUGCCUUUUGCCGAUCAAGUCUGGAGCAGUUUGGAAGUGUUUUGCAAGUACGCAAAGAAUAUUGAGGGAAGUGCCAACUGUUGGGCAUUUUUCACUCGGGCUUUGUGUAAAGUCCUUGAAGGGAAAACUAGAGAUUCUCUUGUGGAGAAAUACUCAAUGUUUUCCAGUUUGAAAGACGAAUUGGAGGUAAACUUUACUUACAAAGACAACAUUUAUGUCUGCCUUGAUGAUUUGAAAAAUGAACAAUUUACAUAUUAUCCCCAAACUGAGGGUGGAAAAUUCAAAGAUGCUAAAGAGUAUUUGAAUUUCCUCAUAUCUUACUUGAAGAGUUACUUUUUGGUUGAUCUCUAUCAUGGAUUGCAAGAAUAUAAAAAAUUGGAGGAAGACGAAAGAUGCAUUGACAAUUUCAAGGAUAUCGGUGGUACGAGAAUGUUUCCAGUAGUCCGUAUUCACAAGGACUAUCCACCAUUCACACUAUUACAAGACAAAUACUUCCUUCUGGAUUUCGCUCCUCGCAGCAGAAAUAAUGGAAAAUUGCGAGAGGACAGAAAAGCCGAAGUCAUUGAUGGCAUAGAAUGUAUUAGGAAUGCAACUCCUCUAUUUCUCUCAACGUCUCCUAAUUUUGAGAAUAUCACAAUGGCUUGGGUGGUAUAUUUGACAGAGGAAUUAAAACAGGAGGGAUUCUUGAUCGUGGACAUAUUAUGGAUGGAAAAUGUCAAGGAGUGUAUUCUGGACAGAGAUCUUUUCCUUGUGGUAAUACCAGAUGUGUUUGAACCUAAAAUCCACACACUAAGAACUUUGAAGAGAAUGUCAACAGCUUUACUUCCUAUGAAGAAAUACUUGGUAUCCUGUGAGUCUUCUGCCAUUCUUCCUCACAUUCCAGACUACGACAGUCUAAAGAAAGAUUCACAGAUUAAAAAAAUGGGGCUAAAUCAGAAGCAGAUUGAGGCUAUUGAAAUGGCACUCACGCGAGAAGUAAGUCUAAUUGAUGGCCCUCCGGGAUCUGGGAAGACAAGAAUCACCCUCAAUAUCAUCAAAGAUAUCCUGGAAAAUUCAUCUUCCCAGAUUCUUAUUGUGGCAUACAAAAAUUUUGUUCUGGAUAAAAUUAUCCUAAAAUCGUCUAAAUUGACUGACAAAGUUGCAAGGAUUGGAUGGUAUUAUAAGGAUGCAAAUGUGGAAAAGCAUACAUUGAAUGAUGACAUAUUCGAUCCUCGAUAUUGUCGUCUACGUAAACACACUAACAGUAAAUGUAUUGCAGCAAUGAAUAAAUUUAUUGAUACAAUGCAGUCUUGAAGGAAGUGAAGAAGUUUCAAAUCUUGAAGAAGAUUUCCAAAACCUAAUUGAGGCAAAAAAUCAGUUUUUGAAGAUAAGAUCGCUCAAUAUGUACUAUAACUGUAAAGAUGCACGAAUAAUAGGGGUAACAACAACAGGAGUGUCAAAAUACCAUGAAUUGCUGGACCUUCUUCGUCCAUCAGUUGUGAUAUUUUAUGAUGCGCACAAUAUCCCCGAACCACAUAUUGUUACAUCCCUAACGGAGCAUACGGAACAAAUGAUUUUCAUUGGCGAUCAUAAACGAUUGGGACAACUUCAGUAUCAUCACUUUUUCUGCUAUUGUCCCAAAAUUAUGUUUAUUGAACGUCUUUUGGAGAAUAAUCUUAACACUGUUCGCCUCAAUGUUCAGUACCGAAUGCAUUCUGAAAUUGCCGAUUUGGUUCGCGGAACGAUUUACGAUGAUCUCAAGGAUGGGGAUAACGUCCAGAACUACGAGCCUAUCAAAGGAAUCCCUAAGAAUCUCUUCUGUGUCACUCUCAAAAACUCUUCUUCCCUUGAUCAUUUGAUCAAAGAGUAUCCUGUUGAAGAAUAUCCAGAGUUGACAGAGGAAGUUUUCCAUCAGACACUUUUCAGUCUUUGCCUGGCGAAUUAUCUUCGUCAGCAAGGAUACCAAGCCCAUGAAAUUGUGAUUCUCGCACUGUAUUCCAAGCUGGAAUCCGCAGUCAUUGAUUCAAUGAAGAAGUAUUUUCCUCUGCUUCACUAUGUUGAAGUUCAAGUAAUUGACCAUUUUCAGGGAGAAGAAUGCCGCAUUGCAAUUGUAUCUCUUGCAAAAGUCGAUAAGGAAACGGACUACGAUUUUUUGGCCGCUGAAUAUCGACUGUGCAUUUUGAUGACUCGAGCUCAAGAAGGCUUGUAUAUCGUGGGUGAUUUGGAGCCUUUCAUAGAGAAGAACGAGACAUGGGGAAAGGUCAAGGAGAAGCUAGAAGCGAAGGAGUCCAUUGGGCCGGGUCUUCCUGUGAAAUGUGAGAAGCACGGAUGCGAAAUUCUAGUGCAUAGCGCUGAAGACUUCAUCAAGAUCUCCAAAAAUGGAUGUCCAACUGGAGAGCUCAACAAGGAAGAUCCUUGCUAUGAAACGAUUUAAAGUUUAAGUGAAAAUCUACUAUGUUGAAAUAUAUAAUCUUAUUGUGCGUUAAUUGAUCAAUUGAUUUGAAUUUGCAAAUAAAUGAAUUUCUUUCUAA